GACGAACGCUGGCGGCGUGCUUAACACAUGCAAGUCGAACGAUGAAGCUAGAGCUUGCUCUGGUGAAUUAGUGGCGAACGGGUGAGUAACACGUGAGUAACCUGCCCCGAACUCUGGGAAAACUGCUGGAAACGGUAGCUAAUACUGGAUACGACCUACGAAGGCAUCUUCUGUAGGUGGAAAGAAUUUCGGUUCGGGAUGGACUCGCGGCCUAUCAGCUUGUUGGUGAGGUAAUGGCUCACCAAGGCGACGACGGGUAGCCGGCCUGAGAGGGUGACCGGCCACACUGGGACUGAGACACGGCCCAGACUCCUACGGGAGGCAGCAGUGGGAAUAUUGCACAAUGGGCGCAAGCCUGAUGCAGCAACGCCGCGUGAGGGAUGACGGCCUUCGGGUUGUAAACCUCUUUUAGUAGGGAAGACGCGAAAGUGACGGUACCUGCAGAAAAAGCACCGGCUAACUACGUACCAGCCGCCGCCGUAA
Molecule: ribosomal RNA, 483 nt
Filed under: uncultured bacterium
Lineage: Bacteria
Description: partial 16S ribosomal RNA
Rfam family: Bacterial small subunit ribosomal RNA
Source: RNAcentral